CUGAAACACUGCUAGUAGUCUAGGGAGGAAGAGUAAGGCCUGAAGUAGAAAAAAUGAUGCUUUUGCCUAAAAUGAUAAUUGCUUCGUUAAUAAAACAUGUACUAAGUGCUAGAUAUUGUUUAGAGCAUUUGCAAUGAAUGAAUUUACUUCCUUAAUGACUUUAGGAGGUUUGGAUACUGCUAGUACUUAAAUUUUAUGAGACGGAUAGGUCCAAAGAGUUUCUUGAAUUCACUGCAUUUAAGUCACUAGGUUAACCUGUGCUUGGUGAGAUUAGGUGAGUAAGAUUCUGGUGGUUUCCUAGAGAUGCACUGUGGUAGUCUUCAUCUCUGAAGUAGGGUGUAAGGGGUUGCUCUGACCUCUGCUGUUUUUAAACGAUGUGUAAACAGUUUGCAUAGUUUCUUCGAAUGCCUUUUACAGCCGAGUUCAGUGAAGUACACAGAGAGGCUGGAAGCUAGUCAUAAAGGGCAGUCACUACUGUGAAAAGGUACUGAAGCACGUCAGAACAGAGGAGUAACAUGAGCAAAUGUGAAUGCAGAGAAGAUCAUGGAUGGAUAAAAAGGGGACCAGAAGGACUGCAGUCUCAUAAAGUUCCCAGCGUGAGGCAUAGAAUAAUAUGCCUGUGUGGUAGGAAUGCUGGCAAGACACAGUGGUCCCAUUCGAAAUGUUCCUAAAAGGAACAAAACACAAAGGGCUGUUUUUUAUCCCAGUCAGAACUUGUGUUGUUUCUUAACAAGUGAUUCAAAGGAAGUCAAGCAUAUACACUGCUUACAGUAGGAAACAAGCCUAACGUUAGCCAUUACUAACAAAAUAGGCUGUAGAAGCCAAAUCAUCUCUAAACCCUGUGACACUACCAAAGAGAUACAGAGUGUUAAUUUUUUUAAAUGAAGCUUUCUAUUUGUAAAUGUAAACCUCACAAAAGGAAGAUGUAACAUUGGAAUAAAAUACCAGUGUCCUUCCCAGAAAAGACUAGAUGGUUGUAACCGAAGUCAUCCACGCUUGGGCUAGAUGUACAAGACACCCAAACUCGAAGCUACCCCAGCGCUUGCAGAGUUCUGUACUCCCUGUCCCCUUCCGUCAGCUGACUGGGCCCAAGGAAAGAGCAGGCACAGGAAGCAGUGGGGAUUAGUAGAGCAGAUGUAGGGAUUGGGAGUUCAGGUUGAAAUGGCAAAUGACUUGCAUAUUGGGAGAAAGAAAGUGUGAAAAUGGCAGUCUACUAAAUUACCUAUUUCAAGAUGGACUUUCUUACCUUAACCUCUGAAAUAAGACUGUAUUUUAUCAAAUAAAAUUGACUUCGUCUCAAAAUUAAUCGAAAGCAUAAAGAUGAGUUGCCAAGCCUGGUCCCUGGUUACUGACUCUGCACUGUAGUCCUUAACUUUCCUGUCCUAACAGAUUACAGGCAAGAGCACACUUGAGAACCACACAUGGCUUCUUAGCAAUGUUGCAGGCAGCUGUGGAAGCCUUGAUGCACCGGACAUCCAUCCCCACACUGGCUGAAGCACUCUAUGAGCCUGUCUCCUACCUGUGUUUUAUACCUGAACUGAGGCAUGUAAUUAAAGUUGUGAUCUUUUUUUAUUAUGCUCGGAACUUUUCUCUCCUUUUUUGUGUCCCCCUAUAUUCAUAUUAUUUUUCUAGGUAUUUAUAUAAUAAAUGUAUGAAAAUACAAUUUUUCUUAUGAAACUAGGAUAACUUUUAUAAACACUUAUAGAAUUUUGUCUCUGCAGUGUCUCACGGAAAUUAUUUAGCCUUGUCUCGCUCUGUUAUUCAUGCUAGUCUUCUUGCCUAUGCUAUGGACACUUUCAUACAAUCUCAGCCCUUACUCUUUGAUCAUGAUAACAUGUCUAGAGAUGCAAAGAAGAAGGAGGGGAGCUCGGCUUGUUUGUUGUUGCUUCUCCGUCUUCAGAGUGGGAAGCAAA
Molecule: long non-coding RNA, 1913 nt
Filed under: Rattus norvegicus (Norway rat)
Lineage: Eukaryota; Metazoa; Chordata; Mammalia; Rodentia; Muridae
Description: long non-coding RNA NONRATT027908
Source: RNAcentral